Molecule: ribosomal RNA, 253 nt
Filed under: uncultured bacterium
Lineage: Bacteria
Description: partial 16S ribosomal RNA
Rfam family: Bacterial small subunit ribosomal RNA
Source: RNAcentral
UACAGAGGGGGCAAGCGUUAUUCGGAAUUACUGGGCGUAAAGCGUGCGCAGGCGGUUCGUCGUGUCCGAUGUGAAAGCCCCGGGCUCAACCUGGGAAUGGCAUUGGAAACUGGCGGACUCGAGUGUGGCAGAGGGGGGUGGAAUUCCGCGUGUAGCAGUGAAAUGCGUAGAGAUGUGGAGGAACACCGAUGGCGAAGGCAGCCCCCUGGGCUAACACUGACGCUCAUGCACGAAAGCGUGGGGAGCAAACAGG